This 76-nucleotide transfer RNA is filed under the name Catenulispora pinistramenti. Its description in RNAcentral is "Catenulispora sp. NL8 tRNA-OTHER". It matches the Rfam family "tRNA". Rfam says of the family: Transfer RNA (tRNA) molecules are approximately 80 nucleotides in length. Their secondary structure includes four short double-helical elements and three loops (D, anti-codon, and T loops). Lineage: Bacteria; Bacillati; Actinomycetota; Actinomycetes; Catenulisporales; Catenulisporaceae. The record is from RNAcentral.
GGGGCUGUAGCUCAGGUGGUAGAGCGCUCACGUGUUCGCACGGGAGAGGUCUGAGGUUCGACCCCUCACAGCUCCA